Molecule: ribosomal RNA, 467 nt
Filed under: uncultured bacterium
Lineage: Bacteria
Description: partial 16S ribosomal RNA
Rfam family: Bacterial small subunit ribosomal RNA
Source: RNAcentral
ACGAACGCUGGCGGCGUGCUUAACACAUGCAAGUCGAACGGAAAGGCCCUGCUUUUGUGGGGUGCUCGAGUGGCGAACGGGUGAGUAACACGUGAGUAACCUGCCCUUGACUUUGGUAUAACUUCAGGAAACUGGGGCUAAUACCGGAUAGGAGCUCCUGCUGCAUGGUGGGGGUUGGAAAGUUUCGGCGGUUGGGGAUGGACUCGCGGCUUAUCAGCUUGUUGGUGGGGUAGUGGCUUACCAAGGCUUUGACGGGUAGCCGGCCUGAGAGGGUGACCGGCCAAAUUGGGACUGAGAUACGGCCCAGACUCCUACGGGAGGCAGCAGUGGGGAAUAUUGCACAAUGGGCGGAAGCCUGAUGCAGCAACGCCGCGUGCGGGAUGACGGCCUUCGGGUUGUAAACCGCUUUCGCCUGUGACGAAGCGUGAGUGACGGUAAUGGGUAAAGAAGCACCGGCUAACUACGUG